AGUCACUGACAUUAGAUACCCCCUGUAGUCCAGGGUGUAAACGCUGCAGGCUUGGUGUUGGAAGCCCUUUGGGGGCAUUCAGUGCCGGAGAGAAGUUGUUAAGUCUGCUACUUGGGAGUACGUCCGCAAGGAUGAAACUUAAAGGAAUUGGCGGGGGAGCACCGCAACGGGAGGAGCGUGCGGUUUAAUUGGAUUCAACACCGUAAAACUCACCAGGGAAGACUGUUACAUGAAGGCCGAGAUGAAGACUCUGCUAGAUUUUCAG
RNAcentral lists this ribosomal RNA (265 nucleotides) under uncultured archaeon. RNAcentral describes it as "partial 16S ribosomal RNA". It matches the Rfam family "Archaeal small subunit ribosomal RNA", at positions 718 to 982 of the family's 1478-position model. The record is from RNAcentral.